This 103-nucleotide microRNA precursor is filed under the name Marmota monax (woodchuck). The record is from RNAcentral. Lineage: Eukaryota; Metazoa; Chordata; Mammalia; Rodentia; Sciuridae.
AGUACAAUUGCUGGGUCAAAUAAUGGUUGCAUUCUAAGUUUUUUGAGGAAUAUCUAUUUGGCUUUCCAUAAUGGAUGUACCAAUUUGCAGUCCCAUAAACAAU